RNAcentral lists this ribosomal RNA (468 nucleotides) under uncultured bacterium. RNAcentral describes it as "partial 16S ribosomal RNA". It matches the Rfam family "Bacterial small subunit ribosomal RNA", at positions 28 to 507 of the family's 1533-position model. The record is from RNAcentral.
GACGAACGCUGGCGGCGUGCUUAACACAUGCAAGUCGAACGGAAAGGCCCUGCUUUUGUGGGGUGCUCGAGUGGCGAACGGGUGGGUAACACGUGAGUAACCUGGCCUUGACUUUGGGAUAAAUUCAGGAAACUGGGGCUAAUACCGGAUAGGAGCUCCUGCUGCAUGGUGGGGGUUGGAAAGUUUCGGCGGUUGGGGAUGGACUCGCGGCUUAUCAGCUUGUUGGUGGGGUAGUGGCUUACCAAGGCUUUGACGGGUAGCCGGCCUGAGAGGGUGACCGGCCACAUUGGGACUGAGAUACGGCCCAGACUCCUACGGGAGGCAGCAGUGGGGAAUAUUGCACAAUGGGCGGAAGCCUGAUGCAGCAACGCCGCGUGCGGGAUGACGGCCUUCGGGUUGUAAACCGCUUUCGCCUGUGACGAAGCGUGAGUGACGGUAAUGGGUAAAGAAGCACCGGCUAACUACGUG